Molecule: ribosomal RNA, 585 nt
Filed under: uncultured bacterium
Lineage: Bacteria
Description: partial 16S ribosomal RNA
Rfam family: Bacterial small subunit ribosomal RNA
Source: RNAcentral
UGGGGAAUUUUGGACAAUGGGCGAAAGCCUGAUCCAGCAAUGCCGCGUGUGUGAAGAAGGCCUUCGGGUUGUAAAGCACUUUUGUCCGGAAAGAAAUCCUUGGCUCUAAUACAGUCGGGGGAUGACGGUACCGGAAGAAUAAGCACCGGCUAACUACGUGCCAGCAGCCGCGGUAAUACGUAGGGUGCAAGCGUUAAUCGGAAUUACUGGGCGUAAAGCGUGCGCAGGCGGUUUGCUAAGACCGAUGUGAAAUCCCCGGGCUCAACCUGGGAACUGCAUUGGUGACUGGCAGGCUAGAGUAUGGCAGAGGGGGGUAGAAUUCCACGUGUAGCAGUGAAAUGCGUAGAGAUGUGGAGGAAUACCGAUGGCGAAGGCAGCCCCCUGGGCCAAUACUGACGCUCAUGCACGAAAGCGUGGGGAGCAAACAGGAUUAGAUACCCUGGUAGUCCACGCCCUAAACGAUGUCAACUAGUUGUUGGGGAUUCAUUUCCUUAGUAACGUAGCUAACGCGUGAAGUUGACCGCCUGGGGAGUACGGUCGCAAGAUUAAAACUCAAAUGAAUUGACGGGGUCAUAGCUGUUUACU